CUCCCGCGGCAUAUGGAGGUUCCCAGGCUAGGGGUUGAAUCGGAGCCGUAGCCACCGGCCUACGCCAGAGCCACAGCAAUGCGGGAUCCGAGCCGCAUCUGCAACCCACACCACAGCUCACGGCAACGCCGGAUCGUUAACCCACUGAGCAAGGGCAGGGACCGAACCCGAAACCUCAUGGUUCCUAGUCAGAUUCGUUAACCACUGCGCCACGACGGGAACUCCAAGAUUCUGAGCACAUUAAGUACCUUUAUUCAUUGAAUCCUUAAAACUAGUCCAUAAAGUAGGUUGUAUUUUCAGUAACACAUUCAAAGUUAGACUGUAAACCAGGGUUCAAACCCAGGCAGCCUGGUUCUAGAAUUAGUGUUUUUCACACCACAUUGAGUUGCCUCAUAAGGGAAGAUUAUAAAAGAAAAAUUUAAAAAGCCAUCAGAUAAUUGCCUGCAAAUUGAAGAGAUCUCAGGAAGGAAAUAAGGCUCUACUUUUGGAGAGUUCCCCAAAGACAGAUAAUAAGUCUUCUGGCCCACAAACAGGCACGCUAAUGAACUCAGUAAUGGCCUAAUUUAGGCUUUCACCAAGGCAGUAGGAAGAUGAGAGAGGUCAGGUCUGGCAACAAUACAGGGAGUCACAUUCAGAAAUGUAAGUGGAAAGAAAAGAAGUUUCCUAUCUCUGGUCUUGAGAAAAGCCACACCCAUUUCGUUUAAGGUCAAGUCCUCACCUCUAGGGUUGGCUUUGUGUCACCUCUCUUUACCCUGCCAGGAAAGCCGGACUUCUCUUAUUUUCCCCAGGGCAAUCUAAACCAGAGGGGGAGUGGAGUAAAAUGCUUUUUUGGUCUUUGGAACCCAACAGACCUGGGUUCAAAUUUUUCUGUCUGCGCUUACUUGAGGACUUAUAACCUAGCCACUGGUAAACCCUAUUAUUUACUUGUCUGUAAGAUGGAACUUUUGGUAGCACCCACCUCAGGUGACAAAGGAUAAUCCAGCAGAGCUGUUUGCACAGUGCGUGGCACUCAGUAAGAGCUUGGCCUGGGUUUUAGAAGCAACACUCCCAAAUGCUUCCAUUUCUAGUCUGGUCCAAUCAGAGACUCCACUCUCCUGCCUCCUGCUAGAGUCAUCCCUCUGAACUGAGCCACACGCCAUCACUCCUCUGCUCACAGACCCUCAGUAGCUCCCAGGACUUCGAAAAGAACAUUUCAACUCUUUCUGCUGACAAUCGAUUUGCUGCACCUCCCCCUCCAGCUGCCUGCACUCCUAGUGCCCUCUCACAUCCUGGGCUUCAGCAGCACUGAAAUGCCCGCUGCACCGCACGCCUGCCCCGUG
Molecule: long non-coding RNA, 1319 nt
Filed under: Sus scrofa (pig)
Lineage: Eukaryota; Metazoa; Chordata; Mammalia; Artiodactyla; Suidae
Description: lncRNA (ENSSSCG00005039417.1)
Source: RNAcentral